GGGUAUAGCUCAGUGGUAGAGCGCAUGCUUAGCAUGCACGAGGUCCUGGGUUCCAAUCCUUAGUACGGCCA
RNAcentral lists this transfer RNA (71 nucleotides) under Camelus bactrianus (Bactrian camel). It matches the Rfam family "tRNA". From Rfam's summary of the family: Transfer RNA (tRNA) molecules are approximately 80 nucleotides in length. Their secondary structure includes four short double-helical elements and three loops (D, anti-codon, and T loops). The record is from Rfam by way of RNAcentral. Lineage: Eukaryota; Metazoa; Chordata; Mammalia; Artiodactyla; Camelidae. RNAcentral also lists the same sequence under 2 other names.